GAUGAAGCUCAGUGGUAGAGUACUUGACUAGUGUUCACAAGGCCCUGGGUUUGAUACCCAGCAACA
RNAcentral lists this transfer RNA (66 nucleotides) under Marmota monax (woodchuck). RNAcentral describes it as "tRNA.Thr". The record is from RNAcentral. Lineage: Eukaryota; Metazoa; Chordata; Mammalia; Rodentia; Sciuridae.